RNAcentral lists this small nuclear RNA (289 nucleotides) under Propithecus coquereli (Coquerel's sifaka). RNAcentral's name for it is "7SK RNA (ENSPCOG00000006349.1)". It matches the Rfam family "7SK RNA". Rfam says of the family: 7SK was discovered as an abundant small nuclear RNA in the mid-70s but a possible function has only recently been suggested. Two independent studies have found that 7SK RNA binds the CDK9/cyclin T complex (known as elongation factor P-TEFb). The record is from Rfam by way of RNAcentral. Lineage: Eukaryota; Metazoa; Chordata; Mammalia; Primates; Indriidae.
GAACGUGAAGCAAUCUGGCUAUCUGUCACCCUGUUGAUCGCCAGGGUUGAUUGCGCUGUUCUGGCUGGCUGGGCGGGUGUCCCCUUCCUGCCUCACCUCUCCAAGUGUGUACCUUCCGAAGCUGCAUGCUCGGCUGAAGAGGACACCUUCGCUGACAGAGGAGGACUGUUUUCAGUCAAUGGUUUACAAGUAGCAUGCUCCCCUGCUAGAACCUCCAAACAAGCUCUCAAGAUAUGCUCGUUGAUACUCUUUAAUUUAAAAAUACAAAUAAAAAGUUUGUCAAAAAUUU